Molecule: ribosomal RNA, 497 nt
Filed under: uncultured bacterium
Lineage: Bacteria
Description: partial 16S ribosomal RNA
Rfam family: Bacterial small subunit ribosomal RNA
Source: RNAcentral
GAUGAACGCUGGCGGCGUGCCUAAUACAUGCAGGUCGAGCGAACAGACGAGGAGCUUGCUCCUCUGACGUUAGCGGCGGACGGGUGAGUAACACGUGGAUAACCUACCUAUAGGACUGGGAUAACUUCGGGAAACCGGAGCUAAUACCGGAUAAUAUAUUGAACCGCAUGGUUCAAUAGUGAAAGACGGUUUUGCUGUCACUUAUAGAUGGAUCCGCGCCGCAUUAGCUAGUUGGUAAGGUAACGGCUUACCAAGGCAACGAUGCGUAGCCGACCUGAGAGGGUGAUCGGCCACACUGGAACUGAGACACGGUCCAGACUCCUACGGGAGGCAGCAGUAGGGAAUCUUCCGCAAUGGGCGAAAGCCUGACGGAGCAACGCCGCGUGAGUGAUGAAGGUCUUCGGAUCGUAAAACUCUGUUAUUAGGGAAGAACAAAUGUGUAAGUAACUAUGCACGUCUUGACGGUACCUAAUCAGAAAGCCACGGCUAACUACGUG